CAGGCACAUGCCACGACACCCGGCUAGUUUUUUGUAUUUUUAGUAGAGACGGGGUUUCACCAUGUUAGCCAUGAUGGCCCCGAUCUCCUGACCUCAUGAUCUGCCCGCCUCAGCCUCCCAAAGUGAUGAGAUUACAGGCAUGAGCCACCAUACCUGGCCAAGAGAAGGCUUUUAAGAGAAGCAGCCUCUAUAACAAAGAAAGUCUAAAAUUUAUUUUUAAAAGUAUAUUAAUUGAAACAUUCAUCAGUGCUGGAAGUAUAUAAUACUUUCGUUUCAACAAAGUUUUUUUUUCAGGAGAGGAAUGUUCUUAUUUGGGGGACUUUUAGGACUUAUUUCGGAGGCCUCUUAGGGCUAACUAAAGAGAAACCAGCUGCUCAUAUUAGAAGACCUUGGAGUUAUCAGAUGCUAGUUUAUACCAUAUGCAUUAGACAUAUAAAAAAUCACCACCUACUUUCGGCUGAGAUAAAAAGCAAGAGGUAAAGCUCCAGACAGCUGUUCCUAACUUAACUACUCUUGCCUCCCACAGCUUUCUGAACAAGGUAAAUCCUGAAUAGUGAUCAUCAUUCAACCUUCAUCUCUGCAAAAAGCAUUUCUUUUCCUCCCAGGCGAAAACAAACAGUGCCUGCUGUCUAGCACUAGUUAAACAAGUUCCCCAAACACCACACACGUCUAUUAUAAUACAUACCACUGAGAAGCCACAGCAAGAACAUAAUGUUCCUUAUGGGCCAAGGAUGAAAGAAGAGGACAGGAAUCCUCCAAGCUGAUACAGUGACUUGUAAACCUGGUUUAUCUUAUUGGAGUCUCAGUUUCUACAUUUCAACCCAGGAGCAGGCUAUACCACUGUGAGCACAUGAAGACAUCUGGCCCAACCUUUACAAUUAUUGCCUUCAACUCUCCAGUGACAAGUGAACAAAAUCUACAGCAGCUGCUGCCUUGAAAAAAGACAAAAUAUAUUAUUCCUACCAGCUCAAAAUUAAAAUGUAGCCGUCUUAAAACACGAGCAUUGCUCCUGAAUGCCACAUGCAUGAAAAACCGGGUAUGCACUGGAUUGGACAAGCAGACUCCCAAGCUGGAACAGAGAGAAGGGCUUUGAGGGAGGGCAGAAUGUCAGGUACCGAAAGCAGGAAUCCGUGAAGAAACCCAAACCGGUUUCCAUUUACAAGCCCUAACACUGGGACAAUGAGAAUCCGUUUCACAUGGUAGAGCAGUCAGCCAGGUACACCACGCUGCUGUUCCCCCAAGGGGAAACCAGAGGUAGGCUCUGUUACCAGUGGAUUUCGAGUUGACUCGGGGAUCCCUCCUCGCCACCGGAAUGGGGGAACCAGGAAGUUGUGGAGCAGCUGCGAUCCCCGAAACUCAAUUCGCAAUCUACGCAACACCCACCCCUUUCUGGAACUCAGAGGUUCUCGCCCAGUGAUCGCAGGCUCAGCAUCAGAAUCACCUGCGUGGGGCGGAGUGGGAGGGGGGCGGUGGCUGUUAAACACGCAGUUCCCGGUCCCGCCCCCAGAGGUUCUGACCCCGGGACUGAAUCUCCGCAUUUUACCAAAGGCCCCAGGUGAUUCCCACUCAGGCUGAAGUUGGAAAACCACUGCUUUAGCAAUUUUCAUUCCUAACUCGGAGACCAAGAAAAACCCACAGGUUUGCAGCUGGCUCUGAAAUAACUGCGGCUUCUUUCCGGGAGCAUCUGGGGCCGCCAACGGAGAGCUCCCGGUCCUCCGAAAGGGCCAGCCGAGCUCAGGCCGGCCACUCGCGGAACCUCGGCAGGGCCCAAGGUCGGCCCCGCGGUCCCAGUCCUGGGCUCCGGGCCCCUCGCGGCCCCCACGGAACCCCGCCCAGCCUCUUCGGCCCACGGGGACCCAAGAGACACCCGGCCCCGUGACGCGCCCGGGCCCCAGCCGCCCUCCCGGCGAGGCCUCCUCAGGCGAGGCCUGUCAGCCCGCGUCCCCCUGUCCGGGUCACAAUGGCAGCUCGCGACUGGGAAAUAGUUGCCUCGGAAGCGGGAGCCCCGGGCCGCAGCACCGUCCCCAUCGCCCCCUCCCGGCACGCACC
Molecule: long non-coding RNA, 2049 nt
Filed under: Homo sapiens (human)
Lineage: Eukaryota; Metazoa; Chordata; Mammalia; Primates; Hominidae
Description: HSALNT0232941
Source: RNAcentral